GUACCCUGGUAGUCCACGCUGUAAACGAUGUCGACUUGGAGGUUGUUCCCUUGAGGAGUGGCUUCCGGAGCUAACGCGUUAAGUCGACCGCCUGGGGAGUACGGCCGCAAGGUUAAAACUCAAAUGAAUUGACGGGGGCCCGCACAAGCGGUGGAGCAUGUGGUUUAAUUCGAUGCAACGCGAAGAACCUUACCUACUCUUGACAUCCAGAGAACUUAGCAGAGAUGCUUUGGUGCCUUCGGGAACUGUGAGACAGGUGCUGCAUGGCUGUCGUCAGCUCGUGUUGUGAAAUGUUGGGUUAAGUCCCGCAACGAGCGCAACCCUUAUCCUUUGUUGCCAGCGGUUCGGCCGGGAACUCAAAGGAGACUGCCAGUGAUAAACUGGAGGAAGGUGGGGAUGACGUCAAGUCAUCAUGGCCCUUACGAGUAGGGCUACACACGUGCUACAAUGGCAUAUACAAAGAGAAGCGACCUCGCGAGAGCAAGCGGACCUCAUAAAGUAUGUCGUAGUCCGGAUCGGAGUCUGCAACUCGACUCCGUGAAGUCGGAAUCGCUAGUAAUCGUGGAUCAGAAUGCCACGGUGAAUACGUUCCCGGGCCUUGUACACACCGCCCGUCACACCAUGGGAGUGGGUUGCAAAAGAAGUAGGUAGCUUAAC
This 657-nucleotide ribosomal RNA is filed under the name bacterium YG-13. Its description in RNAcentral is "bacterial SSU rRNA". It matches the Rfam family "Bacterial small subunit ribosomal RNA", at positions 782 to 1439 of the family's 1533-position model. The record is from RNAcentral.